RNAcentral lists this long non-coding RNA (426 nucleotides) under Equus caballus (horse). Its description in RNAcentral is "lncRNA (ENSECAG00000055580.1)". Lineage: Eukaryota; Metazoa; Chordata; Mammalia; Perissodactyla; Equidae. The record is from RNAcentral.
GGCUCCAGCGGGGCAGAAGGCUUGGCUGACAGCAAACUCAGCACUCCUUUGAAGAAUCACAGACUACAUGUUCCUGUCCACACAAGUUCUGGCUGCCAGAGGUGGAGCUUGAGUGCAGACUGUGAUUUACUUCUAACAAGAAUGUGGCAGAAGUGACACUAUUUGACUUCCAAGACUAAAAGACACUGUGGCUUCCUCACUCUCUCUUGGAUUGCUCACUGGAGUAAGCCAGCUGCCGUGUCACGAGGACACCCAAGCAGACCUAUGUAGAGGUACAUGCAGGAUGAGUCUUCCUGCCAACAACCAGUGAGAGACUGAGGACUUUUGCCAGCACCACGAGUGAGCCUUCUUGGAAGCAGAUGCUCCAGCUCCAGUCAAACCUUCAGAUGACUGCAGCCCUGGCCAACAGUUUGACUGCAACUUUAG